This 540-nucleotide ribosomal RNA is filed under the name uncultured archaeon. RNAcentral describes it as "bacterial SSU rRNA". It matches the Rfam family "Archaeal small subunit ribosomal RNA", at positions 457 to 997 of the family's 1478-position model. The record is from RNAcentral.
GUCAGCAGCCGCGGUAACACCGGCGGCCCGAGUGGUGAUCGUGAUUAUUGGGUCUAAAGGGUCCGUAGCCGGUUGGUCAGUCCUCCGGGAAAUCUGAUAGCUCAACUAUUAGGCUUUCGGGGGAUACUGCCAGACUUGGAACCGGGAGAGGUAAGAGGUACUACAGGGGUAGGAGUGAAAUCUUGUAAUCCCUGUGGGACCACCUGUGGCGAAGGCGUCUUACCAGAACGGGUUCGACGGUGAGGACGAAAGCUGGGGGCACGAACCGGAUUAGAUACCCGGGUAGUCCCAGCCGUAAACGAUGCUCGCUAGGUGUCAGGCAUGGCGCGACCGUGUCUGGUGCCGCAGGGAAGCCGUGAAGCGAGCCACCUGGGAAGUACGGCCGCAAGGCUGAAACUUAAAGGAAUUGGCGGGGGAGCACAACAACGGGUGGAGCCCUGCGGUUUAAUUGGACUCAACGCCGGACAACUCACCGGGGGCGACAGCAAUAUGUAGGCCAAGCUGAAGACUUUGCCUGAAUCGCUGAGAAGUGGUGCAUGG